This 450-nucleotide ribosomal RNA is filed under the name Trioceros ellioti. RNAcentral describes it as "partial 16S ribosomal RNA". It matches the Rfam family "Bacterial large subunit ribosomal RNA", at positions 1923 to 2603 of the family's 2925-position model. Lineage: Eukaryota; Metazoa; Chordata; Lepidosauria; Squamata; Chamaeleonidae. The record is from RNAcentral.
CUAAACGGCCGCGGCACUAAAACCGUGCAAAGGUAGCACAAUCACUUGUCCAUUAAAUGAGGACCCGUAUGAAAGGCAACAUGAGAGAAAACCUGUCUCUUAAGACUAGCCAAUGAAAUUGUACUACCAGUACAAAAACUGGUAUAUCAAAGCAAGACAAAAAGACCCUGUGGAACUUUUAACAAAUUGUUUAAACACGUAAACAACAGUUUCAGUUGGGACAACUUUAGAAAAAAUAAACUUCUUAAUUUACCAAGACAAACAAGUCUAAGACACCACAGAUCCAGUAAUACUGAUUAACGAAACAAGCUACCCCAGGGAUAACAGCGCUACCUUCUCAAAGAGUCCAUAUCAACAAGAAGAUCUACGACCUCGAUGUUGGAUCAGGGUAUCCAGACGGUGCAACAGCUGUCAAUGGUUCGUUUGUUCAACGAUUAAUACCCUACGUGA